GAAAGUUUGGCUGACUAAAAAUAAACUUAGUGUUUGCAGAAAAGGAUGUAAAGCUGAAAAAAAGAAGAUUGAAGCAGUGAAGAUACACUUGAGCUCUCCAUGGGAACGGACACAUCAGUACAACGGUCUGUACAGAGAAACAUGCAUACAUCUUACAGCCAGUCAGGAGCAGGAAGAGGUCUUUCAGGCUCUGAACAGGAGCAUGUUCAGUCAUCACCAAGACUCAAGGAGAUCUUACUGGAGGUUAGUUGCUCGAGGGACCACUCUGACAGACGGUGACUGUAAACAAGCAGAGAGGAACAAACAAGCCUGGAGCACUACUAAACAGCACUGGGGAAGAGGGGGAAGAGAAGACA
Molecule: long non-coding RNA, 356 nt
Organism: Pundamilia nyererei
Lineage: Eukaryota; Metazoa; Chordata; Actinopteri; Cichliformes; Cichlidae
Exons: 4
Source: RefSeq, a predicted model, not a curated record